RNAcentral lists this ribosomal RNA (253 nucleotides) under uncultured bacterium. Its description in RNAcentral is "partial 16S ribosomal RNA". It matches the Rfam family "Bacterial small subunit ribosomal RNA", at positions 524 to 776 of the family's 1533-position model. The record is from RNAcentral.
UACAUGAGGGGCAAGCGUUGUUCGGAAUUACUGGGCAUAAAGGGUGCGUAGGUGGUCUGCUAAGUCAGUGGUGAAAUCCCGCGGCCCAACCGUGGAACUGCCAUCGAUACUGGCGGACUUGAGUGCGUGAGGGGUUACCGGAACGAGCAGUGUAGCGGUGAAAUGCGUAGAUAUUGCUCGGAAGGCCAGAGGCGAAGGCGGGUAACUGGCACGCAACUGACACUGAGGCACGAAAGCGUGGGGAGCAAACAGG